UGCUCACUUUGGCAGCAAUAUACUCAAAUUGGAAAGAAACGGAAAAGAUCACCAUGGCCCCUGUGCAAGGAUGAUACACAAAUUUGUGAAGUGUUCCAUAUAUUU
Heterocephalus glaber (naked mole-rat) is the source of this 105-nucleotide small nuclear RNA. The record is from Ensembl. NCBI's taxonomy places the organism in Eukaryota, Metazoa, Chordata, Mammalia, Rodentia, Bathyergidae.